This 504-nucleotide ribosomal RNA is filed under the name Staphylococcus felis. RNAcentral describes it as "bacterial SSU rRNA". It matches the Rfam family "Bacterial small subunit ribosomal RNA", at positions 11 to 497 of the family's 1533-position model. Lineage: Bacteria; Bacillati; Bacillota; Bacilli; Caryophanales; Staphylococcaceae. The record is from RNAcentral.
GUUUGAUCCUGGCUCAGGAUGAACGCUGGCGGCGUGCCUAAUACAUGCAAGUCGAGCGAACUGAAGAGCAGCUUGCUCCUUUGACGUUAGCGGCGGACGGGUGAGUAACACGUGGGUAACCUACCUCUAAGCCUGGAAUACCUCCGGGAAACCGGGGCUAAUGCCUGAUAAUAUGUUGAACCGCAUGGCCCAACAGGGAAAGACGGUUUUGCUGUCACUUAUAGCUGGACCCGCGCCGCAGUCGCUAGUUGGUGAGGUAACGGCUCACCAAGGCGACGAUGCCUAGCCGACCUGAGAGGGUGAUCGGCCACACUGGAACUGAGCCACCGUUCCGACUCCUACGGGAGGCAGCACGAGGGCAUCUUCCCCAAUGGACCAGAGUCUGACGGCGCAACGCCGCGUGAGUGAUGAAGGUCUUCGGAUCGUAAAGCUCUGUUGUUAGGGAAGAACAAAUGUGUAAGUAACUGUGCACAUCUUGACGGUACCUAACCAGAAAGCCACGGC